RNAcentral lists this ribosomal RNA (468 nucleotides) under uncultured bacterium. RNAcentral describes it as "partial 16S ribosomal RNA". It matches the Rfam family "Bacterial small subunit ribosomal RNA", at positions 28 to 507 of the family's 1533-position model. The record is from RNAcentral.
GAUGAACGCUGGCGGCGUGCUUAACACAUGCAAGUCGAACGGUGAAGGCGGAGCUUGCUCUGCUGGACCAGUGGCGAACGGGUGAGUAACACGUGAGCAAUCUGCCCCUGACUCUGGGAUAACCGCUGGAAACUGCGUCUAAUACUGGAUACGAGCUGCGACGGCAUCUUCAGCAGCUGAAAAGAAUGUCGGUCAGGGAUGAGCUCGCGGCCUAUCAGCUUGUUGGUGAGGUAAUGGCUCACCAAGGCGUCGACGGGUAGCCGGCCUGAGAGGGUGACCGGCCACACUGGGACUGAGACACGGCCCAGACUCCUACGGGAGGCAGCAGUGGGGAAUAUUGCACAAUGGGCGAAAGCCUGAUGCAGCAACGCCGCGUGAGGGACGACGGCCUUCGGGUUGUAAACCUCUUUUAGCAGGGAAGAAGCGAGAGUGACGGUACCUGCUGAAAAAGCGCCGGCUAACUACGUG